This 500-nucleotide ribosomal RNA is filed under the name uncultured bacterium. RNAcentral's name for it is "partial 16S ribosomal RNA". It matches the Rfam family "Bacterial small subunit ribosomal RNA", at positions 29 to 523 of the family's 1533-position model. The record is from RNAcentral.
AGUGAACGCUGGCGGCAUGCCUUACACAUGCAAGUCGAACGGCAGCACGGGAGCAAUCCUGGUGGCGAGUGGCGAACGGGUGAGUAAUAUAUCGGAACGUGCCCAGUCGUGGGGGAUAACGCAGCGAAAGCUGUGCUAAUACCGCAUACGAUCUACGGAUGAAAGCGGGGGAUCGCAAGGCCUCGCGCGAUUGGAGCGGCCGAUAUCAGAUUAGCUAGUUGGUGGGGUAAAAGCCCACCAAGGCGACGAUCUGUAGCUGGUCUGAGAGGACGACCAGCCACACUGGAACUGAGACACGGUCCAGACCCCUACGGGAGGCAGCAGUGGGGAAUUUUGGACAAUGGGCGCAAGCCUGAUCCAGCAAUGCCGCGUGCAGGAUGAAGGCCUUCGGGUUGUAAACUGCUUUUGUACGGAACGAAACGGUCUGCCCUAAUACGGUGGGCUAAUGACGGUACCGUAAGAAUAAGCACCGGCUAACUACGUGCCAGCAGCCGCCGUAA